CAACAUUUCCGUACGAUAAAUAACACUUCAAAAAUGCUCAAAAUUUGCCUCCAGAAUGUUGUGAGAGCUGAGAGGAAAACAAACUGUCAAGGACGCGCCCUAAGCAAGUGGGACGACCUUGAAAAAUACCCCUUCAAAAAUUGAAAAUUUUUUCAAAUUGUUUUUAAAAAAUCUCAAAUAUUUUUUACGGUAGACGCCAAGAGCAAGUUUUGCGCUCACUUUCCAAAAUUAAGAAAAAUCUUCCAAAGAUCUUCAUUGAACUCGAGGAUACGCCCUUAGCAAGUUGAACGAUCUCGACUGUUUGCCAUAAUUAUGUUUCGUUGGAUUCCGUAGGAUGAGUAACACUUGAAAAAUUACAAUUUCCACAAAAUUUUCGUCAGCCGCCCUAAGCAAGUGCUGCGACCACCUCAAAAUUUUCAAAAUUCAAACAAGUUCCGCAAUCUUUUCAAAAAAUAAACAUUCUUUGAAGGUAAAACGUCUAAAUUCGCGCUGGGUAAGCUCCGCGUUCAGCAAGGCAAAACGUCAAAGAUGCGCCCUAAGCAAGCGGUGCGACCAACUCGCAUCUACUUCGGUGAUUGGCCUGCUUGUUGUUGUCCAACACCUGCUGCUGUCGUCGGCACUGACAAAAAAUAUCAACGCAAGAAAAUAUUUUCCAAAAAUCGAACUUUCGCGUUACAUUUCCCUCUUUCCACACAAAACAGAAAUAAAAACUAUUUUUUUUAACGUUGAAUUAGUUAUGUAGGGCAACGUCCAUCAUCCUGCUUUGUUGUUAUAGCACGACGACGACACAAACACAAACAAAUCAGUUGACGUUUGUUUAUUUUUUUCUCUUUUUGAAACAUAAUUUGAGUUUGGUUUGAGUGACGAACGAGUGAUUUUUUUUUUUUUUUGAGUGAAUGAACAACGCAUGAUAGUGAGCGGAAGAAGAAGAAGAAAAACGUAGUGGUAGAAGAAGCAGUGACGAUAAGAGAGCAAGAGAAGAAGAAAACAUACAAAAUAAAACAAAAAAUGAUGUACUAGAUUAGCGCCCAGAGAUUAGUUCAUUAGUUGAUACACAAGAAAAAAAACUAAAACUGGUUUAGAAGAGAUCAUAUGCGAUCAUGAGAUACGCGCGCACGGUGGUAAUGACUCUGAUGAGAUGAGAAGAAUAAUACUACACAACAAGGAUUAAGAAAAGUAAUUAGAGAAAAAAAAUCGCAAUUGAACGUGAUUUUUUUUAAAUGAUCAAUGAUUAGUUAUUAUUUUCUUGAGACGAGAAAUCUCUUAAAAAUAUAUUUUCUGACGAUUUAUUUUUUUGCUGAUAGAAUUUCCUUUAUUUUUUAUUAUUACUAAUUAAUGUUAAGCAUGAUUUACACUGAGAAAGAGAGAGCGAGAGAGAGAGAGAGCGCUAGGAAUGCCUGCAAAACAAUGACGAGAGAAGCGUUGAGAGCCGCUUUGCGCGGUGGUGUGCGUGAGAAGUGAGCGAUACUACAAACACAAGUAAGAAAUUAUUUAGUGGUAAGCGUGCAAGCGACAGAACUUGAAAUUGAAUAAACUUGACAAACAAAAAAACUAACAAGCGCGCGGGCGAGAAUGUUGAGAGCAAAUGCGUGAAAUAAGAGCAGAAAUUAAAGCAUUGAAUAAGAUACAAGUUGAUCGUAAGUUUAGCUAACACACGGACACACUUAUCUCUCAAUGUAAAUAUUAACGGAAGGAAACAAAAAAAAAAAGAUUCGAAAACUAAGAAAAAAUCAUCCCCUAGAGACAAAACGCAGACACAUAAAACGCGCAGUUUUCCCCCCGGUUGCGAUUUCCGCGAGCGCGGCAAAUUUAGGGGGGACAAACCGUUUUUUUUUUUCGAAAAAAAUAGAAAUGUGAGAGUUCGGUUGAAAGAAAAGAACAGAAAAUGAACAAAAAAUAUACUUAUAAAUAAUGGAAAACACGCAUUAUAAACAAAUUAUUACAAAAAAGUAAAUAAUUAACAAGUAAGUUUUAGUGAAAAUAAACAGCCAGAUAAAUUAAAACAAAAGUAACAUAGAGAGAAAGAGUUGACGGUGGAAAGAUAAGAACAAAACAAAAUGGAAGAAAACAAAAACUCUUGAACUCUUGCACUCUAAGCAAACAGAAAACAUUGAAAAGCAGUGAAAAAACAAGAAAUCCAACACGUUGAUCCAAAUAUUUAAGAGAGAAUGAGUAAAAAAUAACACCCACACAAACAAGCAGUGAACGCAACAGCAUCAACAGUGGUCAUAGAAAAAGACACCAUCCACAAAAAAAUAAACACUCACAAAAUGAAGAAGUAAAAAAAAACACUUUGUUGAGCGAAGAAUGAGAGCGCAAGCAAGCAGAAAAAAAAUCCA
Molecule: long non-coding RNA, 2339 nt
Organism: Culex quinquefasciatus (southern house mosquito)
Lineage: Eukaryota; Metazoa; Arthropoda; Insecta; Diptera; Culicidae
Exons: 2
Source: RefSeq, a predicted model, not a curated record